UGGGUUAUGGCUCAGAGGUAAAGCGCUUGCCUAGCAUGCAAGAGGCACUGGAUUCGAUCCUCAGCACCACAU
This is a non-coding RNA of Ictidomys tridecemlineatus (thirteen-lined ground squirrel), 72 nucleotides long. The record is from Rfam. Lineage: Eukaryota; Metazoa; Chordata; Mammalia; Rodentia; Sciuridae.